RNAcentral lists this ribosomal RNA (118 nucleotides) under Hypsibius dujardini. The record is from RNAcentral. Lineage: Eukaryota; Metazoa; Tardigrada; Eutardigrada; Parachela; Hypsibiidae.
AUUUGGCAUUUUAUCACUCAUUUUCUCCCGAUCCCGUUUGAUCUCGGAAGAUAAGCUGCGUCGGGCCCGGUCAGUACUUAGAUGGGUGACCGCUUGGGAACACCGGGUGUUGCAGGCA